This is a long non-coding RNA of Aegilops tauschii subsp. strangulata, 315 nucleotides long. RefSeq lists it as uncharacterized. Lineage: Eukaryota; Viridiplantae; Streptophyta; Magnoliopsida; Poales; Poaceae. The record is from RefSeq and is a predicted model, not a curated record.
AGCCGCUGGAGAGGAAAGCGUAAAAAAAGCCAUGGAUUUGAAGCGGCGUCGAUGGCGACGGCCGGCGCCGCGGCCGGGAAAUGAAUCUGCAGCUGAUUUCCGGCCGGGUGUCCGCACAGGCAUACCUCAACGAUAAGGAAAAUAGUGGACUUUUUGCAAAGGAAAAAAUGGAAAACAAGCAGUUGACCCGACGGAGGCGCUGAACUGCUGAUAUCUGUCGCAGGAUCGGAUCGUCUUGGUGCAUGUUGUCCGUCUUUGUAAGCUGGGUUCAAUGAACCAUCGAUAAUGAAACCGUCUGGCAGCAAUUUCAAUUUU